Zea mays is the source of this 1043-nucleotide long non-coding RNA. RefSeq lists it as uncharacterized. The record is from RefSeq and is marked predicted. NCBI's taxonomy places the organism in Eukaryota, Viridiplantae, Streptophyta, Magnoliopsida, Poales, Poaceae.
CAUUUAACCAAUAAGCAUUCAUUCAUUAGUCUCAGCCAGUCGAGCUCGUCGGUCGCCAUCGCCACCUCUAACCGCCGCCGUCGCCGCCGGCCCGCAGUGGUGCCACAAAACCGGUGACCCCUACUCCCCCUCUUUCCUCUCCCCUCUCUCCCGCUCUGCCUCUCCCUUCGCCACUUCUACCCUGCUGAGGGUGUCGCCUAUGGAUCUCCCCCGUCCUCCGUGUGGGUGCGCAGCGGCGGUGGUGCGCCUGGCGGCAGCUGAUGCGCACAACAAAGUGUUCCCUAGUUAAGUGUGCCGAGCCGGAGGGGAUGGCAGUCGACGCAGCUUUGCGGCUGUUGUGGCAACCGGUGCGUCGGUGCCCCUCUGGAGGGGUUUGCGCAGAGGCUAGGGCAGUGGAGACGGCGGAGGCUACCUGCUUUGACCUGGGAUCCUGGCCUUUCGAUGUGCUGGAUGGCAUCUUGGGCGAAAACCUUGGCGAUGGUGACAUCCGUGGACGCCACUUCCCCCUGUUGAGGGCGUCGCAUUGCUAUGUCUUCCAGUUCGUCUUGACCUCGAAGUUACCUUCAGUUCAUGCUUUCGCUUCUCGACGUCUGGUUUGUGGGUGGAGGUGGGGUUUUCUGCAACUUGAAGUCGAAGCUGCCACAUUAAGGGAUGUGGCUCGGCAAUGAUGACAUGAGGCGAGCCCCCCUUCCUCGUGGUCUGGACUGUUUUGGAGGUCGGGCAAAUAACCGGAGGUGGGUAUUGGAUCAAGAUUGCUGAUGAAGAAUCAGAGCUGCCUCGAGUGUAGGUGUGUCGAGGCUUCGCAACGAUGGCGCGUCGCGGUCUUCCUCCUUUUGUCCAAGGUUUUGGUGUAUGCGUCGUCGUGUUUCUUUUGGCGUUGUGCGGCCCGUCUGGCGAAGUCGUACAUUGUGUUGAGCUCAACAACAAUGACUCUGGAAGGGCUUUGUAUUUGGGGUUGCCGCUGCCUGUGUUGUUUAGACACUAUGUGUCGGCGGUGAGUGUUGUGCCGUAUUUAUGAUGCCCAGACCCCUUGGUCUUUGCAC